CAUGCAAGUCGAACGGAAAUCUUUUAGAUUUUAGUGGCGAACGGGUGAGUAACACGUAAGCAACCUGCCUUUAAGACGAGAAUAACAAUUGGAAACAGUUGCUAAGGCUGGAUAGGAAAUAAAAAGGCAUCUUUUUAUUUUUAAAAGGCCUUUUUCGGAAGGUAUGCUUAAAGAGGGGCUUGUGUCACAUUAGUUAGUUGGUAGGGUAAAGGCCUACCAAGACGAUGAUGUGUAGCUGGACUGAGAGGUUGAACAGCCACAUUGGGACUGAGACACGGCCCAAACUCCUACGGGAGGCAGCAGUAGGGAAUUUUCGGCAAUGGAGGAAACUCUGACCGAGCAACGCCGCGUGAACGACGAAGUACUUCGGUAUGUAAAGUUCUUUUAUUGAAGAAGAAACAAUAGUGGAAAAACUAUCUUGACGUUAUUCAAUGAAUAAGCCCCGGCUAACUAUGUGCCAGCAGCCGCGGUAAUACAUAGGGGGCGAGCGUUAUCCGGAAUUAUUGGGCGUAAAGGGUGCGUAGGCGGUUUAAUAAGUCUCUAGUUUAAUUUCAACGCUUAACGUUGUCCUGCUAGAGAAACUGUUUAACUAGAGUGAGAUAGAGGUAAGCGGAAUUCCAUGUGUAGCGGUAAAAUGUGUAAAUAUAUGGAGGAACACCAGAGGCGUAGGCGGCUUACUGGGUCUUUACUGACGCUGAUGCACGAAAGCGUGGGGAGCAAACAGGAUUAGAUACCCUGGUAGUCCACGCCGUAAACUAUGAGUACUAAGUGUCGGGGUUAAACUCGGUACUGAAGUUAACACAUUAAGCACUCCGCCUGAGUAGUACGUACGCAAGUAUGAAACUUAAAGGAAUUGACGGGAUCCCGCACAAGCGGUGGAUCAUGUUGUUUAAUUCGAAGAUACACGAAAAAUCUUACCAGGUCUUGACAUACUCUGCAAAGCUAUAGAAAUAUAGUGGAGGUUAUCAGGGAUACAGGUGGUGCAUGGUUGUCGUCAGCUCGUGUCGUGAGAUGUUAGGCUAAGUUCUAAAACGAGCGCAACCCCUGUCGUUAAUUGCCAGCACGUUAUGGUGGGGACUUUAGCGAGACUGCCAAUGAAAAAUUGGAGGAAGGUGGGGAUUACGUCAAAUCAUCAUGUCCCUUAUGAUCUGGGCUACAAACGUGAUACAAUGGCUAUUACAAAGAGUAGCUGAAACGCGAGUUUUCGGCAAAUCUCAAAAAAAUAGUCUCAGUUCGGAUUGAAGUCUGCAACUCGACUUCAUGAAGUUGGAAUCGCUAGUAAUCGCGAAUCAGCAUGUCGCGGUGAAUACGUUCUCGGGGUUUGUACACACCGCCCGUCAAACCACGAAAGUGGACAAUACCCGAAAGCGACAGCCUAACUGCGUAAGCA
RNAcentral lists this ribosomal RNA (1390 nucleotides) under Coconut palm phytoplasma. Its description in RNAcentral is "bacterial SSU rRNA". It matches the Rfam family "Bacterial small subunit ribosomal RNA". Lineage: Bacteria; Bacillati; Mycoplasmatota; Mollicutes; Acholeplasmatales; Acholeplasmataceae. The record is from RNAcentral.